This 459-nucleotide ribosomal RNA is filed under the name uncultured Cupriavidus sp. RNAcentral describes it as "partial 16S ribosomal RNA". It matches the Rfam family "Bacterial small subunit ribosomal RNA", at positions 157 to 606 of the family's 1533-position model. Lineage: Bacteria; Pseudomonadati; Pseudomonadota; Betaproteobacteria; Burkholderiales; Burkholderiaceae. The record is from RNAcentral.
GAUUAGCUAAUACCGCAUACGACCUGAGGGUGAAAGCGGGGGACCGGCAACGGCCUCGCGCGACAGGAGCGGCCGAUGUCUGAUUAGCUAGUUGGUGGGGUAAGAGCCUACCGAGGCGACGAUCAGUAGCUGGUCUGAGAGGACGAUCAGCCACACUGGGACUGAGACACGGCCCAGACUCCUACGGGAGGCAGCAGUGGGGAAUUUUGGACAAUGGGGGCAACCCUGAUACCCCCACCGCCGCGUGUGUGAAAAAGGCCUUCGGGUUUUGAAAGACUUUUUCCCGGUAAAAAAACGCGCGGGUUAAAAUCUGGGGGGGGAUGACGGGUACCGGAAGAAUAAGCACCGGCUAACUACGUGCCAGCAGCCGCGGUAAUACGUAGGGUGCGAGCGUUAAUCGGAAUUACUGGGCGUAAAGCGUGCGCAGGCGGUUUGAUAAGACAGGCGUGAAAUCCCCGA